CCCGUGAUAGCUCAGUUGGUAGAGCGGAGGACUGUAGUGGUCGCAUGGUUCAGGCAUCCUUAGGUCGGCGGUUCGACUCCGUCUCGCGGGA
RNAcentral lists this transfer RNA (91 nucleotides) under Capitella teleta. RNAcentral describes it as "tRNA-Tyr for anticodon GUA". It matches the Rfam family "tRNA". From Rfam's summary of the family: Transfer RNA (tRNA) molecules are approximately 80 nucleotides in length. Their secondary structure includes four short double-helical elements and three loops (D, anti-codon, and T loops). Lineage: Eukaryota; Metazoa; Annelida; Polychaeta; Capitellidae. The record is from Rfam by way of RNAcentral.